Molecule: ribosomal RNA, 253 nt
Filed under: uncultured bacterium
Lineage: Bacteria
Description: partial 16S ribosomal RNA
Rfam family: Bacterial small subunit ribosomal RNA
Source: RNAcentral
UACGUAGGGAGCGAGCGUUGUCCGGAUUUACUGGGUGUAAAGGGCGCGUAGGCGGCCCUGCAAGUCAGAAGUGAAAUCCAUGGGCUUAACCCGUGAACUGCUUUUGAAACUGCAGGACUUGAGUGGAGUAGAGGUAGGCGGAAUUCCCGGUGUAGCGGUGAAAUGCGUAGAGAUCGGGAGGAACACCAGUGGCGAAGGCGGCCUACUGGGCUUUAACUGACGCUGAAGCACGAAAGCGUGGGUAGCAAACAGG